This 270-nucleotide ribosomal RNA is filed under the name uncultured Desulfocapsa sp. RNAcentral describes it as "partial 16S ribosomal RNA". It matches the Rfam family "Bacterial small subunit ribosomal RNA", at positions 1109 to 1382 of the family's 1533-position model. The record is from RNAcentral. Lineage: Bacteria; Pseudomonadati; Thermodesulfobacteriota; Desulfobulbia; Desulfobulbales; Desulfocapsaceae.
UCUUAGUUGCCAUCAUUCAGUUGGCACUCUAAAGAGACUGCCGGUGUCAAACCGGAGGAAGGUGGGAUGACGUCAAGUCCUCAUGGCCUUUAUGACCAGGGCUACACACGUACUACAAUGGCCAGUACAAAGGGCAGCCACUUAGCGAUAGGGAGCCAAUCCCGUAAAGCCGGUCUCAGUCCGGAUUGGAGUCUGCAACUCGACUCCAUGAAGUUGGAAUCGCUAGUAGUCGCAGAUCAGCACGCUGCGGUGAAUACGUUCCCGGGCCUU